RNAcentral lists this long non-coding RNA (17386 nucleotides) under Malus domestica (apple). Its description in RNAcentral is "long non-coding RNA (MDOM_LNC008738)". The record is from RNAcentral. Lineage: Eukaryota; Viridiplantae; Streptophyta; Magnoliopsida; Rosales; Rosaceae.
AAGCUCAAAAUGAGCUCUGAAAGUCAACCCUGCAAUAUGCAAAAACUGCAAAUUUCGUGAAGAAGGGGCAUGAAGGUGCAUGGGCAGCCAUUGCGAGUGGCGCGUGCAGCGCGUGGCUGCCAGUGUAGCCAUCUUAUGGUGGCGUGUGAAGGAACUCGAAAUCUUUCCUUAAGUUUCUCGACGUGCUGAACCCAAAUUCGACCUCCAUUUUCUGAAAUUCGAUCGUUUUAAAAUAGUUCCUUUAUUAGCCGUACUUCGUACAGAAACGCGUUUAUACGUUAGUACGUUACAUAUUUACAUAAAUAGUUUCGUUUCUAGGCGAAACGCAUCGCAAGGACUCUUGAUGUCAUGAGGCGGGUUCAACUCAAUGACAUGAUUUGUGAGUGGGUCUUUGUUUUUUAAAAUAUUAUAUAUUUAUUUAGUUUCCAUUUAUAUAAUUGAUGAAGAAUUUUCUAAAAUGCACUUUGUUUAGACUAACGUUUUUAAAAAUUAACGUAUUGACGAAAUUUAUGAAAUUACCAUAAAUUCUACAGGACGCACGUUUAUGCAUAUUUUGACGUGAGGCCAUGAAUAUACCUACGGUCAACAAUAUUAUUAUUUUAUUGUGGUGAAUUACGAAGUUUCUAUAGUAUGAUUAUAUUUAUGUUACUACUCAUCAUGCAUGCUACACUGGUGUUUGUACUCGCUCGGGCCAAGGCCAGGCUUCACGUGUAUGUUCACAUCACACCAUAGGCUCACUUUAGAUCCAUUAUAGGUGUCAGUCCUGUCCUAAAUUGCUAUAGGAAAUUAGGACUCGUAUGUGAUGCGCAUAGCGCCAGUCUUCACGUGAUUAUAGUACUUCAAGUGAUUAUAGUACUAGAGCAUAAGUCAUUAUUACACCCAGUCAUGUUCAUGUCAAAAUACCUCUGCAUGAACUUAUGUGUCAGCAUACAUCGAUGAGCCCCUGUUAGUAUAUAUUUAUUUAUUUGAGAUAUGGGAUUACUGAGUGUUAUGUGUUUACUUACAAAGUAUUAUGAAGUAUUGCAUCCUUGACGAUUUUACUAUUUAUGGUAAGUAUUUUCAUACUAUAUAGUAUGUUAUAUUUGGAAACUAUACUUGUUUUACAGCAAGGGGUUAUUAUGUUUUCGAAAAUAUUUUUACAAAACUUUAUUUUUAAGCCCACUCACCUUUGUUUUUCGCCCAUCCAGGUUUUAGUAGUUGAGUUAUCGUAUUGACAAGGAUUUUUGGCAAAUCUUAGUAUUGGAGAUUACCUUCAAUGUUAUAACUCUCAUUCUACUUUUACUGUACUUUACUUAUACUCUGAUAUCAUGUGUGAAAUGGGUUUACUCCCUCUCACUAGCACACUCUUACAUUUAGGUACUCUGAGGUUUAAAUUUACUCACAUUUUUCACAUCAUUACACAUUAUGGCUUCGUCACCCUCUUUGUGUCAGCUAGCACAGCUCGAUUCGAAGUCCACAUGGACAUUCCUGAUUCGCGUGUGUCAAAUAAAAUUAUGACAUGUGAACACAUAAUAAUGUGUAAUGACAAUAUGAAAUGGUCCUUAUGCAAGUGUUUCGUUUCUUUAUGUUUCUUAUUAUGAUAUAAGUUUUUGAAUUAUUUCUUGUCCAUGUGUCAUUAUUUUAUUAGUGGUUAUAACUGAAAAAUAAGAAUUAAUGAUGAAAAGACUAAUUUGCCCUUGAAUUUGACGAAAUAGUGGACGGAAUCUACGACAAGGGAUUGGCUGAUUUUAAAUAGUUCAAAUGGUUAAUUUACCAAAAAAAAUAGUUCAAUAGGUCAAUUUCAACUAGUGUAAUAGUUUAGGAGGCCAAACCGUAGUUUACCCUAUAUUUUAAGUACAAAGAAACACUUAUUUAUAUGAAAUAUAAUAGAUUUACUUAAAUCUGUUUAGUCUGCCUAGGCGCUUGCAAAGGCCCUACCUAGCCGCCUAAGCGCUAGGCUCCAACCCGCCGCUCGAUUAGCACCUAACGUGUUUUAGAACCUUGUUAAAUAUUAAAACAAAAUAUAAUAUAUAUAUAUAUAUAUAUAUAUAUAUAUAUCUAACACCACGUUUUUAUUAAAUUUUAAUCUUCUUCAAGGGUUAAAGUUAAAAAAAAAAAAGACCUUGAAUUUAACAACAUGCAUAUGAAAGGUAAUAGCUAUAUUUUAAUCUAGCAGCUUGAGAAGAGAAGAAGAACCGGAGAAUCAAAGAAAUUAGAUAGAGAAACAAGUGAAAUAAGCAAUUUAGCUUAUUUUCAUUAGCAUUCUUACAUUUUCGUAACUGUUAAGCAACCGCAUUACUCACUUAUUACUCCCCUCAAUCUUAGCAUGGGUUUCAUGGUUAAGAUUGUAGCUAUGAUGAACAAACACUGGACUGUGAAAUUCUUGUCAAAAUAUCCACAACCUGUUAUAAAUAUGUAAAAGUUAGAAAGAUAACCUUUUAGUGAAUGGAGUGAAGCAGAGGUAAAAUAUCACACUGUAAUUAUAACUCAAGUGAAUGAUAAAUAAAAGAGGGAGAAAUUGAUGUUAUUAUUUCUCUUACUUUCUUUAUGUUUGCUACUAUCUUUUGAUUGCAGUUAAGUGCUCUAUUUAUAAAGCAACUCGUAUUACUACAUUUGAAAUUUACAACACCCUUUUUGACAAUAUGAUAUCCUGCAUCCCCCAAAGUCAGUUUUCAAUUUGUAUGGACAUUGAAAACUUCUACCAAUGCUGGAAAACUUCUACCAAUGCAAUGUGGGCAUUCAUUACCCACCAGCAUUUUCAACACUCCCCCUUGGAUGCCCACAUAUCAACAUCAGUUGCCUCAUUAAAACCUUGCUUGGAAAAACCCAAUGGGAAAAAAACCAUAGCGAAGGAAAAAGAGUACAACUUUACCUGAAUUGUUGGUAUAGUGUUAAGUAUGCUUAUGUUGCCUCAUUAAAACCUUGAUAGGAAAAACCCAGUGGGAAAAAUCCUAAUUGAAGGAAAAAGAGUACAACAUGCAUGUAUCAUGUAUACUCCCCCUGAUAUAUAUUUCCCCCUGAUUCUGCAUUCUCGAAAUUUAGUUGUUUGGUAAGUCGACGUAAUCCGAUACUUUGCAUUAACUUCUGAAACGUGCAUUUUGGUAGAGAUUUGGUGAACAACUCUGCCAAAUUUUCAUUAGAACGGAUUUGUCUUACUUCAAUAACUUUAGCCUUUUGGAGCUCAUGUGCACUGAAAAACUUGGGAGAUAUGUGUUUAGUCUUAUCGCCCUUAAUGAAUCCUUCCUUCAUUUGGGCAACAUAGGCUGCAUUAUCUUCAUGAGAUAGUUGAAGUGUCUGUCUUUGAAGUUAGACCACAUGAAUUCUUGAUAUGAUGGAUCAUUGAUCUUAACCAUGAACAUUCACGACUUGCUUCAUCUAAAGCAAGUAUUUCUAAAUGAUUUGAAGAUGUAGCAACUAAUGUUUGCUUUGUUGAGCACCAUGAGAUUGUUGUAUCUCCAUUCUUGAACAUAUAUCCAGUUUGUGAGUGGGCUUUAUGCGGAUCAGAGAGGAAACCAGCAUCUACAUAUCCAACAAAGACUUGGUCAUUUGUAGAGUUCUUUGAGUAGAAGAGACCCAUAUAUGUUGUCCCACAAAGGUAUCGCAAUAUAUCUUUGACACCCUUCUAAUAACGAAUUGUUAGAGUAGAGCUAUAUCUUGCUAACAAGUUGACUGAAAAAGUUAUAUCUGGUCUAGUACAUUGUGCUAAAUACAACAAAGCACCUAUUGCACUCAGAUAUGGUACUUCUAGACCAAGGACCAGUUCAUCAUCUUCUUUUGGACAGAAUGGAUCUUUCUUAACAUCCAAAGAAUGAAUGACCAUUGGUGUGCUGAGUGGAUAAGCCUUGUCCAUACCCAAUCGCUUCAGGAUUUUUUCAAUGUAAGAUGAUUGGUGGACCAAAAUUCCACUAGCACAAUGCUCAAUCUGCAGGUCGAGACAAAAUUUUGUUUUUCCAAGGUCUUUCAUUUCAAAUUCGUUUUUCUGAUAUUCAACAGUUUUAUAAAGCUCUUCAGGGGUUCCAACUAGGUUAAUAUCAUCAAUGUAUACUGCCACUAUAGCAAAUCCAGAAUUGGAUUUCUUAAGGAACACACAAGGGCAAAUGACAUUGUUGAUGUAUCCUUCUUUGAUCAAAUACUCACUGAGACGAUUAUACCACAUUCGUCCAGAUUGUUUCAGCUCAUACAAUGAUCGCCUUAAUUUGAUCGAAAGCAUACCUCGUGGUUUAUUAGUUAUUUCAGGCAACUUAAGUCCUUCUGAGACCUUCAUGUAUAUGUCAGUAUCUAAUUCUCCAUAUAGAUACGCAGUGAUGACAUCCAUAGGUUGCAUGUCAAGCUUUUUUGAAACCACUAAACUUAUUAAGUAACGGAACAUAAUUGCGUUACAGGAGAGUAUGUCUCCUCAUAAUCAAUUCCAGGUUUUGUGAAAAACCUUGAGCAACGAAUCGUGCUUUAUAUCUUGCAAUCUCGUUUUUCUCAUUGCGUUUCCUUAUGAAUACCCAUUUGUAACCCACAGGGUUUACACCAGGCGGGGUUUAGACUACUGGUCCAAAAACAUUUCGCCUUUCCAAGGAAUUUAAUCCUGCCUGGAUUGCAUUUUUCCACUUAGGCCAAUUUUGUCUCUGUUUACAUUCAUCAACAGAGCGGGGCUCAAUAUCAUCACUUAAUAUGAUUUCAGUGGCUACUGUGAAUGCCAACAUAUCGUCGAUGAUUAUUUCAUUAUGAUCCCACAGUUCAUAGUACAUGCAUAAUUUAUGGAGAUUUCUUUGCUCUCAUGUACUGCUGUCUCUUCAGGGACAUGUGUCUCAUCAUGGACAUUUUCUUCUUUUGGAAGUCUAGAAUCAUGAAUUGUAGAUUUGUCAUUCGUUCUCUCUUCCUGAAUGUUUUCAUUUGAAUUCAACUGUGCCCUUGUCUUUCUCUUUCAAGGGGUUGAAUCUUUUGAACCUGGUGGUUUACCACGCUUCAGGCAUGCACCAAAUGAAUCAUUCGCUACCAUUUUAUUUUGUCCAAUAGGGACAUCAAUUCUUGCAGGUGCAUUUGCAGCUAGUAUAUGUGAUUUUGUCACUUUCAUAGCAUCAUUAAAUGCAUCUGGCAUUUGAUUGGCAAUGCUUUGAAGAUGAACAAUCCUUUUUACUUCAUUUUCACAUUGAAUGCUUCAAGGAUUAAAAUGAGACAAUGUGGGAACAACCCAUGUCAGCUCUUUCCGUUCUUCUGGAAUGGUCUUUUCUCCCCCUAAUGACGGGAAUAUUGUCUCAUCAAAGUAACAAUAAACAAAAAGAGCUGUAAACAUAUUACCUCUCAGGGGUUUCAAAUAUCUGAUGAUAGAUGGUGAAUCAAAACCCACAUAAAUUCCCAGUCUAUGCUAAGGUCCCAUUUUAGUGCAUUGCAGGGGUGCAAUAGGCACAUAAACAGCACAACCAAAAACUCGUAAAUGUGAAAUGUUUGGCUGAUGUCCAAACACAAGUUGUAUUGGGAGUAUUAGUGGUUGGCUAUAGGUCUCAAUUGAACCAAUGAUGCAACAUAUAGGAUGACAUGUCCCCAUGUAGAAACUGGUAAUUGGUUUUCAUAAGCAAAGUGCAGGCUAUUAACUGAAGCCGCUUGAUCAAUGCUUCUGCUAAACCAUUUUGAGUAUGGACAUAAAGAACGGGGUGUUCAACAUCAAUGCCUAAUGUCAUGCAAUAAUCAUCAAAGGUUUGAGACAUAAAUUCACCAGCGUUAUCAAGUCGGAUUGACUUAAUGGGAUAAUUUGGGAACUGUGCUAAUAACUUAGUUAUCUGAGCAAGAAGUCUCGCAAAAGCUACAUUUCGAGUAAACAAGAGACAAACAUAUGACCAUUUGGUAGAUGCAUCAACCAAAACCAUAAAAUAUCGAAAUGGUCCACAAGAUGGUUAAAUAGGCCCACAAAUAUCCCCUUGAAUUCUUUGCAGAAAUGAUGGGGAUUCAGCAUCAACCUUUAGUUGUGAUGAUCUAAUUACCAACUUCCCUUGAGAACAAGCUUUGCAAGGGUUAUCAUUUGUGAUAGCAAUGUCCCUACUCAGUAAUGGAGAUCUAUUAGAGUUGGUAAUGAUCCUACGCAUCAUGGUGGAUCCUGGAUGACCUAGACAGUCAUGCCAAAACAUGUAAACUUUUGAAUCAAUGAACUUCUGGUUCAUGACAGUAUGUGAUUCAACUGUCUUAAUGUAUGUAUAAUACAAUCCACUCGACAAACCAUGCAACUUCUCCAAUAUACACUUCUGGGUAUCAUUGGAGAUAAUGCAUAGAAACUCCACAUUUUCUACACUUUUCGUUUCAAUUUGGUAUCCAUUUAAACGUAUGUCUUUGAAACUCAACAAAUUUUGAGUGGAUCGAGUAGCAUACAACGCAUUUUGUAUGGACAAUAUUGUUCCAUUUGGUAACAUAAUCUGGGUUUUCCCUGAGCCUUCAAUUACAUCUGAUUUGCCUGAUAUUAUUGUUACCCUUAUUCUUGUAAGCAUAAAGCUUAAGAAAUACUUUCGAUCACGAAGUAUUGUAUGCGUUGUUGCACAGUCUGCAAGACAGAUAUCUCCACCAUUUCUCAUGUUCUGAGAAUAACCAUAGUCUUUAUCCAUGCUCUCUGAAUAAAGGAAUCAGAGUUUUAAGCAAGUUAUAGCAGGAAAUUUACAUGUCACUUUUAUUGAAUCUGAAAUGCCAGUUUUAAACUACAAGUUCAGCAUAAUAAAAGUACAUCAAACAUAAAUGAUUCAGUCGAACCGAUACAUUUCAUUCCCCCUUUCCAUAAUGAAGUCUGAAACAUCUAGGUGAGUUGUGUUCAACUAUUCUAAUAAGUCACACACUUGAUCAGGUAUAACCCUUGGGUUAGCCUGGUCGAGAAAAUUGGUUUCGACACCCUUCUCCUUGAGGGAAGCUUGAUACAUAUCCACCAGAUGUUUUGGGGUACGACAAGUACGCGCCUAAUGCCCAUUGCCACCACACCUAUGGUAGGCUCCUUCAUAGUUCCUGGGAGCUUUGUUCAUGUGAGCUUUGCCUUUGUGGCGAUUCAUAUGUUUGAAGCUCAGGUCUGAAUUAUGCCUUGGAACCUGGUUGUAAGACUGACCACCAUGGUUCAUGCCUUUCCUGUUCCACCGACCUCGCUUGUGGCCACAUCCUCGUUUAUGAUUAUCGCCACCAGAGGAUGUGGCGUUCACUUCGAGAGAAGCAGCAUUCACUUCUGGGAAUGGUACAAAUCCAGUAGGUCGGGAAUGAUGUUUUUCAUCAGGAGCUCAUUAUUGUGUUCAGCUACCAGAAGCACAGAUAUCAGCUAGUUGUAUUCUGUGAAGCCUCGCGCUCUAUACUGCUGUUGCAGGAGCACAUUAGAGGCAUAAAAUGUGCUGAAAGUCUUUUCCAGCAACAUUUCCUUAGUAAUAGUAUCCCCACAGAGCUUCAUCUGAGAGGUAAUUCUGAACAACGCAGAAUUGUACUCAACCACUGACUUGAAAUCCUGGAUCCUUAGGUGAGUCCAUUCAUAGCAAGCUCUUGUAAGAAUCACUGUUGUUUGGUGAUUGUAUUUGCUUCUCAAGGCCUGCCGGAGAGCUAACGGAUCUUCAACCGUUAAGUACUCACUCUUUAGUCCCUCAUCAAGAUGGCGACAAAUAAAGAUCAUGGUCUUCGCCCGCUCUUGAGAAGAUGAGUUGUUCUCUUCCUUGAUGGUAUCUCCAAGAUUCCCUACUUCCAGAUGGAUCUUGGUAUCCAGUACCCAGGUAAGGUAAUUGUUCCCGGUAAUGUCCAGGGCAACAUAAUCAAGCUUCGGCAAGUUCACAAUUUUCUUUUCUGAAAGAAAAUGAGAUGUGUAAGAACUUGCAAUAAUAUGUAUUCUUGGAGGAAUAUAAUGUUAGAACUUCUGGUUCUUACAAAUUUUUCAUUUUGAUCUUCAGGCCAAAAUGAUAAGCACUCGAAACUUCUGACUCGAGAUUUUCAGGAUGAAUGAGGAGGGUGAUUGUACCACACCAUUCUCAUUGAAAUAAUGUAACAUAGAAUGGGCGAUUAUUCUGCACCACUCAAGUAGCAGGAAAAUUUAAAUACGCAUAAUAGUAUGGGCGAUUAUACCGCACCACCUAAAAUUGCAAUGAAAUUAAACAGCAGGCAAAUUAAAUAUGCAGGGUAGGGCGAGCGAUUAUAUCGCUCCACCAAAAAAUUGCAAUAAAAUUAAAUCUGUAGUCCAAGAUAAGCGAUGAUACCGCACCAUCUUGGAUCGCAGUAAGAUGAAAUUUGCAAUUCAAGAUGGGCGAUUGUACCACACCAUCUUGGAUUGCAGUAAAAAUAAAUAUUGGGUUAGUAAUCAAUAUUUGUACCAAACAAGAAAUUAAAGAUGUAUGUAACCGUUAGGUUGAGAACUAGAAGCAAGCAUGGAGCAGACAGUUCGUCGCGAGGUUAUAUCGCGCAGUUGAGGCAGAGGAAGAAGAUGAACAGUAAUAACCUUAGAGGAAAAAAAUUUUCUUUCGUUCGGCGAAGAUAAAUGAUUUUCAUUCGACGAGGAAUGAGAAAUAGUUAUAUUUAUAACGUUAUCAGCACGAGUCUCUAAAUAUAACUAUUUCUCAUUCCUCUUCGGCGAAUGAAAAUCAUUUCUCUUCACCGAACGAAAGAAAAAAUGUUUCCUCUAAGGUUUUUACUGUUCAUCUUCUUCCUCUGCCUCAACUGCGCGAUAUACCCUCGCGACGAACUAUUUGCUCCAUGCCUAUUUCUAGUUCUCAACCUAACUGUUACAUACAUCUUUGAUUUCUUGUUUGGUAUAUAUAUUAAUUACUAACCCAGUAUUUUUUUUUUUUUAAAAAAAAAAGAAAGAGGGAGGAAUGGAUGUUGUUAUUGCUCUUACUUUCUUUCUGUUUGCUACUAUCUUUUGAUUGCAGUCGAGUGCUCUAUUUACAGAGCAACCCGUAUUACUACAUUUGAAAUUUACAACACUCUUUUUGACAAUUUGAUAUCCUGCAUCCUCCAAAGUCAGUUUUCAAUUUGUACGGACAUUGAAAGCUUCUAUCAAUGCUAGAAAACUUCUACCAAUGCACUGUGGGCAUUCAUUACCCACCGGCAUUUUCAACACAACCUACUCUUUUGUAUGGUAAUAUAGUUAUAAAAAGAUCAACUUUUUGGACUUUUUAUCUAACAAAGUAAUCAUUUAGAGCAGGAGAUUGUCACAACGAUAGAUAGGAGGACAUAGGAGGAGAAUGAAUGAAUACAUGCAAAUCUUUCAAAAUUGCUCUUAUCCAACAUACAUCUACAACACAGUGAGUUAAUGCCUUGUAUUCUACUUCAGUAGAACUCCUACAGAUAAUUGCUUUUUGGAUUGUCAACAAAAAAUCACAUAAACUUGUAGCAAAUCUUCAUUGGUUAAUGUCAGCAACCCAAUCAGAGUCUAAAUAUGCUGAAGUGGUAUUAUCAAAUGAGGAUUUAUAAGUCAAUCCAUAUUCUAUAAUGUUUCCAAAGAUAUCUCAAGAUUCUAUUAACUGGAAAGAAGUGUGCAUUUGUAGGUUGAUAAAUAUGUUGACAAGGGGUGACAUAUCAGGUCUUAUAAAUGUUAGAUAUUGAAGGGCACCCACAAAAUUUCUGUAAACUUAGAUCCAAGAGGAGUUCAUUCUGAAACAAGCAAUUGAGUAUGUGGUUUAGAUGAAGUUGGGUGCAUGUUUACAGUUCUUCAUUCCAGCCUUCUUAAGCAACUCUCUUGCAUAUUUUGUUUAGCUAACAAACAGAUGACCAUUGUCUUUGUAUUCAAUUUGAAGACCAAGGAAGUUUGUCAACUGGCCCAUAUCCUUUAAUUUUAAAUCAAACAAUUCUCCAAGGUUCAUGAUUAUUGAUUGAACUAAUAUCAGCUGUUGAUGAAGUUUCAGAAAAGAACAGGGUCGGUUGCUUUUUAAUUAUAUCAGCUCAAGUAAUUUUGAUACAUGGCAAUCCAAUGGCUUGUAGAAGCUCUGAUAGCAUAUUAACUACAUUGUAAAAGAUAAAGAAUUGGUAAAGACGAAGAGGAAGAUGAUAGAGAGAAGCAAGAGAGAUUGUAUUGAUUAGAGAAAAUGUAUACAACCAAACUGAAGGAAAUGAUAGCUAUACAAUCCCUUAUAUAGCUAUGUAUCCAAACUACAACAAUAUCGUUCUAACAAACUCAACCACUAGAAUAAUGUCAUGUGGCAUUUCUGUUAUAUCAGUUAUUAAUAAGCCACAUAAUAAGAGAUCUAAUCUAGGAUAAAUUUUUCAUUGUAAUCAGAACACGGGUGGUAUACUAUGUGUUUUUAUAUAAGUGAUGGAAAAUUUUAUUUUUUAAGUUAUUAACUUUUUAACACAUAUAUCUCACCAUUUGUACAAUGAAACAUGGUGUACCAUCCAAUGUGACGGUUACACUAAAAAUUCUCUCCUAAUCCACAUCUUACAUCUGUCCUAUUAGACUAAAGUUGAACUUUGAUUUACAGCUCAACAAUUCAAAUACAAUGGACCCAAAACAAAACAAUUCAAAUACAAAAAAUACUUAGAAACUAAGCAAGCACUCAACAAUCUAUCAAUCAACCAACACUUCUAUCCGUUCACGUUUCUAAGCACCUAGAUUGAUAAAAUCGACCUAACCGCCCAUCCAUUGGUCCAAACUACCAGUCUCUAAUCUUCUGACUGUACAUUUUCUACACCCUUCUAUCACCUCAUUUAUAAGUAAGUUUUGUGAUGCCAACUCCGAACUGAAACAUACCUUAUCAGUUGUCUCACUACAACCAAUUCCUCACCACAUAGGGCGUGUAAGAAUGCCUCACCAUCAUCCACCAGGACAACCACCGCCUCCUGAUCCUUUUGCUCCUCCACCACCAGGACCACCUCCUCCUGAUCCUUUUGCUCCUCCACCACCAGGUCCGCCACCACCAAGACCACCGCCUCCUGAUCCUUUUGCUCCUCCACCACCACCGGGACCUCGUUCUCCACCUCCACCAGGGCCUCCUCCACAGCCAGGGCCACAUGGUCCUCCCCCGCCACCUUAAUAUCAUCUCACAGGCUCACCUCAAACAGUAUACUAGUUACAGUAUUAUUAGCAUUAUGUAUAAGAAAUAAAGUGCAUGUGUCCAUGUAAGCUUCACGAAUUAUCUAUAUGUACACACAGUAGGAUUAAUGCCUACCUUAUUUAAUUAAUUUAAAGGGUUAAUUGCACUUUACACUCCAAGGCUUUGGAGGUCAUUUGCACAAUAAGCCACUAAAUUUCAAUUUUUGCAUUUUACACCAUGUGAUUUCUUUAGGGGUGUAACAUCUACACACUCCUUUUUACUUCUCCCACAGCUUUUUAGUUUUCGGUCGUCGGAUCGGAUGAAUUGAAGAAGAUCAACGGAUAUAAAUUAACAAGGUGUAUGAGAAGUAAAAAGGAGUGUGUGGAUUGCACACCCCUUUCUGUAUUACACUAAUUUAACCUCUUUAUCAAUUUUACUAUCUAAUUAAACGUUAGGUGUUGAUGUGGCAUAGACUUUCCCCACAUUUUAAGGACUCAUUGACCAUCAAUUUCAGUGUGUAGUACUUUACUCUUCUAUUGUUUCAAUUCUUUUAUAAAACUAAGAGUCAACAAGUCUUUAAAAUGUGAGCCCAAUAUAUACCACAUCAACUCAUAACGCCUAACUAGAAUCUGAUUUCUUUAUGAUUACCAUUCUAAUCCGAAAGCAAAUACUACAAUUAACACAAAACGAAAAUAACGGGUUUCACAUCAGCAAGAUAACUAAUCGGGUUGUUAUCUGAUCAUCCGUUAAGACCCGUUAUUAAUGGGUUCUUAACUGUUUCCACGCAGGUAACCCGUAUUCACCUCUUAAGAAAAAAGUUAGUUUGAUAAUUUUAAACUACUGAAAAAACCUUACUAGCUACUACAAUAGCUAUAGUACUAAAUCUCACAUGAGUAAGAUUAAAAAUUUCCAAUACACGUUAAAAAUACCAAAGCACAUUAAAAAUUUCAUCAAAAUUCAUUUACAAGUGUGCAAAAUGUGAAAAACAAAAAAAACAAAAAAAUCUGCAAACGCUUGUAAUCGCAUCAUGGUCAUUUGAUUUUUUCAAAACCCUACAAGCCCUCAUGAAUAGUGUUUUAAGUGAGUUCAAAAUAAAUAAAAAUUCAUAAUAAUUAAUGUAGAAGUUGAAAAACUGUGAAAAAAAUAUAUAAACACUUGUGCUUGCAUCAUCUACACUUUGACAAUGGUUGCAUCAUCAUUUAGAUUAUUAAAACCCUCAUGAAAUAAUUUUUUUUUUUGUUUGAGUGCAAAAAUAGUAAUGACAAGCUUUACAAUUUUCGUGAAGGAGUUAACUGUAAUACCCCGUAUUUAAAAAAAAAUUGGUUAUAUAUGUGUGUGUGUGUGUGUGUGUGUGUGGGUAAUUAUUUUUACGUAAUGAUUUUAUUAGAUUUAUUUUAUGCAAGAACCUACUGUCGAUAUGUGAAAUAGUUUCAAUGUAAAAUCCUUUUUGCUACAAAUUAUUUCAAAAACUAGCUUUCAUGUUCAUAUGUAAUUAGAGAUUUUUUAGUUUGAAUUGGAGAAGGGAAAUUAAAUGAGUUUGGUUUGAUUUUCCUCACAAAGGGCCAAGAGUUUGAGGUUGGAAUAAGUGAGUCAUUUUGUCUUGAUAUUUUCUCUCAAAGAUGAGGUGGAGAGCUUCUAACAUUAAGUGUUAAUGUUUUGGUGAUUACUCACCAUUCUAAAUGUGAAGGUGGAAGUCUACUUAAGGGUGAGUUGGCAAGUUUGUAUUCAUUAGGAAUCUAAGAGUUAAAUGUUUGGUAAUGAUUCAUCCCUCCAAAAUUGGAGAGGUGGGAUUCAUAUCCCUUAGACUUUGGACGUGGCUUUUGAGUGUUUGUUCACCUUGCAUGAUAUUAAUUAGCUUCACAUUUGUUGUUUUUUCCAUUGGACCACAUUUCAUUGCUAAGGAUUAGGACAACAUUUGUUGCCUUGUGAUUAGAACACAUUUCAUGGUGAUGAUUAGGUUAACAAUUGGUGUGUUUCUAUUAGAACACAUUUUAAGUUUAAUGAUUGGCACAACACUUGCUUUCUUUCUAUUGGCACACAUGUGAAGAUUCUUUGGAGAGGAAGAUGUCAUGCAAUCUCUAUAAAGGAAUGAGCACUCACCAAACGGAUGACAUGGAGAAAAAAGAGAGAGGAAGGAGAAGAAGAAAAAAGAAAAAGAAAGAACCACUUCAACAAGAAAACAAUUCUCCCCUUCCUAUUACCUUCUUAUAUUUAUUUAAAACGUUCUUAGGGCUUUAAGCCAUCUUUCAUUGUAUUUGUAAGUCCCUCAUAUGUAUAGUGAAAUACAAUGAAAUCAAACCCCAGUGGAUUUAGUCGAUUUGGCGAACCACUUAAAUCUUGUGUUGUUUAUGCAUUUACAUUUGGAGAUCAUUGCCAUGAGAAGCACUUCCACCAAACUAUCGCCAAUCUCUAUUUAUCUCCCUUGAGGAUGAUGUACAAAAAGUGUGAGACAAAUCCCAGAGAAAUACAUGAGACCUUACCCAACAAAUCUCCACCAAACUCCAUCUAUCAAAAGAAAGAUAUCCAAAAACUAGAAAUUCGUCCGGCCUAUGUAGUAGACCAAAACACCAUCAUCCAUAGAUUAUAUCAUAGUACUUCCUUCAUGAGAGUUGUUCGUCUGUCUCUCUACCAUGAUAUCCAAAUUUUAGAAAAAUCCAACGGUGCGAUCGUCCAAUAUGUUUGAAAUACCAACUCAUGUCUCUAAUCCCGCAGAAAAUUGGACAGCCAUGUUAUGAGCACUAAAAUUCCAUUUUGAAGAGCUCCGAUCAAAAUACUUCCUUCACAAAAGCUGUUCCUUAUCAUCUCAUCUAUAACAUAUCUAAAAACCACGAUAAUCCAAUCUAUGUGCUGACUUGUAUCCCAGUUUGAACAGCUGAUGUUCAGUUGAGCUAGCCUUCUUUGCCAACCUUUUUGCAUGGCCAACAUCUCUAGUUUCUUUUGCUCACUUUCAUGAAAGUUUUUCAGCAAUCUAACUCCUAAUACAUAUGUAGAGUUUCAACUAUAUUAAAGAAGAGGAAGGGGAAGUGGUGAAGGAAGAAAGAGAGCAAGAGAGAGGAAAUGAAAUUGAAACAAUAAAAAAAUGAGGAAAUGGUAACAUAUUGCUUAUCAUUUACAUUAAAGAUUAAUUUGUUAAUAUUAUGAUUAUACUACUCUUGUCACUAAUCAAUUUGAUUUAUAUUGAAGCUUAUAGGCUUGUUAAAGAAAAUGUGAGUAUUGAUAUCUAUGUGAACAUGACAUAUACAUAUGCAUUCCAAAGCAAGAAAAAGAGUUGUGUUGAGUUUGUAAAGUGUUUGCGUUGUGAGGAUAUUCAAGGGCUGAAGCUUUCCUUGAAUAUAAAAUAAUGAACCUUGUCUAUGUCAGGCAUAGGGUGCAGGGCUUAAGUAUACAAAUUGGUUGAUUAUAAAAAUAAUGAAAUCUUGUAUAUGUCAGGCGUAGGGUGCAAGGCUUGAAUAUACAAUUGGGCGUCGAAGGAAGUGCCCGUAUAAUAAAGUGGAAACUGAGAGUUUAAUUACAAAAACUGGGUGUAAGGGACGAAUGGGAGUUAACUCAUAUUCUAACGUACUCAGAGCCAAAUGGUAUAAGCAUGGUAAGGGACAUGCAGGCUUGGGUGCCUUAGGUAUGUGUUGACGGGAUUACAAGGGAGUGAGUACAUUCAUGCAUCUCAUUGCAUACCUUUUAUGUUUUUGCAAGAGCUACUCAUUUCAAUUAUUAUUUUAGUUGGUACUUUUGUAUAUUAAUAUUUUAUUUCCGCUACGUAUGUCAUAAAUUUUAUGUAAGAUUUUGUUAUCUAAUGUAUGUAAAAUCGUUAUAAUUUCAUUUUAGUUUCCACCAUACCUUGGUUGUAGAAUUUAUUUCUAUAACUAAGAUAUGGCUCACACCCUAACUCGUGAAUAGUCUUUAUUCGCGGGUUGGGGCGUGACAUUAACUCCGAAAUCCAACACCAUAAUCCAUAAACCCUAGAUUUAUAUUUUAACUGUUGAUUGUGAUUUAUGCUCUAUUCUUUUCACCCUAUUUCAUUUUUCAAUUUUUCUUUUUUGAAAACAUGAUUUAGCGGAUGCAAAAAAAUGAACUGUUUGGAUUGUUAUUAUUACAUAAACACAGAAAAUACGACACAAAUGACGGAUCUACAAUUAAUCAUCGUGAUGACAUGUCAACUUUACUAAGUACGUACACGUGUGAAAAAAUCUAGGGGUGGGCGCGGGUUGGUCAAAAUUGCAAACCAAAACCGACCAAGCUAGGACUAAAACCGAUCAAAUAACCAAAUGUGGCGGGUUGGUUUGAAUUGGUUCUCGGUUUCUAUGAAGACAAAAAUACAUAAUAAACUUCUCUUCCAAAAGCUACAUAACAUAGCACCUCAGUGAUUACUUAAGGGAAAACACAAAUUAAGCAACCCAAUAAUAGCACCAAGGCAACAACUAAGCUUUUCCAGCGAUUGAUACCAUGUAAAGCAACAAAGAUUGUUGCAAUAAUGUAUAACUAUGAGAGAUUUUAGAGAGAGAAAGUAGUAGACUUGAGGAAGAAGAAAGAAUCUUGUAUUAAGAUAAUGAUCUUACAGAGAGUACAUUUAGCUAUAUAUUGUAAUGCCUUAUAGACUAAGCUCUCCAAAUGGUGUCCAUGUUCUUCUCGAAAGGGACUCUUAAACUAAUCAGGUUUUGUUUUCAUGUGGUGGAAACAUGGUAACUCGUAAAUAACUAACCAUUUAUAUUAUCACACGUAUUAAUUAUGAUUAAAAAAUAAAAUUAAUAUAUGCGGGUCGGUUUGGUUAACUGCAGCCUAAGAAUUUUGAGAACCAAUUGCCAAACCGAUUAAGGUCGGUGCGGUUUGGUUUAACCACCGAAAAUUAAAAAAAAAAACAAACCAAACCGUCAAUGCUGUUUGGGCGGUCAAUCGAUUGUUUUACUAUUUUUUAUUAAAUGCCCAGCCCUAGAAAAAUCUAAGUGAAAGGAACAAUGAAACAAGAAAUUUUUACGGGUGGCGGGAACACACACCUCAGCAGUGCAGGUGGUGUUUCCUUCCAAUCCAAUAACGCCAUCUACCCCACUAAAGGUAAAUUGUUUUAUCUUUUAUAGAAUAAUCAAUAAGUGAAUUUUUUAUUUUUUAAAAAAAUAACUCAAGGCCCUUCCCCAACCUUCUAAUCAUUCCCCUCCAAUUCCUCUCAGCCCCCGACAUCCACCAUCACCGCCCGGUGUUUUGGCCCACCGUAUCGUCGUCCCCUUAUCAUCCCACCUUUCUCCUGAUGAUCAAGAACCGGCGUCUUCAAAUCAUGAUGAAGAAGCAACAUGAUAGAAGAAGAUGAUGGUGUCAAAUUGAGAUUUUAGUUGUGUGAUGGAGGCUGGAGCUUUCAUGGGUGUUCAUGGUGGUGGGCGUGACGUGGUUGUCAAGUGGAGGGCAGAAAUUUUGGUUCAGGUGCUGGUGACCCUUUAGUCGGAAAGAGAUGGAAGAGAGGAAGGCACCGGUACUAUGUUAAUUAAAUAUUAAGUUUUUUAAUGGGAACUUUAACGAAAAGCACCCGGUACUGUUCACUUUAACGAAAAACCACAUUUUUACAUUAAAAAGUCAAUCCUGGUACUAUUCACUUUACCCUUUAUUUUGUCCUUAUCAUUAAAACUCAAAGUUUUCAAGCCCUUUUCAUUAGUUUUCCUUUUUUUAAUUGCUUUAAAGGUGGGCUAGACUAUUGGUGUAAAUUUCAUCUUAAAUUCACAAAUAUCAAGACCUGAUUGGUGAAACUCCAAGUCAGCAAGAGUUCCCGUCACCCGUAAAAAUUUCUCCAAUGGAACAUAACCGAAACGCGUUUUCUGGCUACCAGUCUUCCAACUACCAGUCUUAUAUGCCUGUCUAGAAACUUCUUUGUAGCGAAUUAACAAACCGACUGUAUAUCUUUAUAAAACUGUCCAUUUCUCUCUAGUCAAUUAUCUUCGCUUGAUUUUACCAAAAAAAAAAAAAAAUUAUCUUCGCUUGCAACCAAAAUUUCAAGAGAAAAUGGCAUUCCGUAGGGAUCCGCCAGGACCACCACCACCCGACCCAUUUGCACCACCACCUCCCCCUCCUCCUCCUCCUCAUCAUGGGCAUCCACCAGGUCCACCACCUCCACCGCCGCCUCGGGAAUUCUUUCCUCCACCUCCACCUCCCCAUCUGGAAUUCCAUCCUCCACCCCCACCACCAAUCCACCACCACCCACCUGGUCCUCCACCCCCACCGUAUUACCCACCAGGCCCUCCGCCACCUGGUCCUCCUCCACCGCCUUACUCAGACCCCUACAGACCGCCGCCACCACCUUGGGGUCGUCCUCCUCCACCUUUCUAAGUAAUUAACAUACAGCAGCUUUCACUGAUAUAUCUUAUUUGUAUAUGGUCUACGCACGUCGGGACGUUGUAUGCACGAGGAGCGUCUGAUCAAGGCUGCUGCUUUAGGAGAAAAAGAAAUAAAAAAUCAUGUGUAUAGACGUUGUAAAC